UACGUAGGGUGCGAGCGUUAAUCGGAAUUACUGGGCGUAAAGCGUGCGUAGGCGGUCUCGCAAGUCCGAUGUGAAAUCCCCGGGCUUAACCUGGGAACUGCGUUGGAAACUAUGAGGCUAGAGUGCGGCAGAGGGGGGUGGAAUUCCAGGUGUAGCAGUGAAAUGCGUAGAGAUCUGGAGGAACACCGAUGGCGAAGGCAGCCCCCUGGGUUAGCACUGACGCUCAUACACGAAAGCGUGGGGAGCAAACAGG
RNAcentral lists this ribosomal RNA (253 nucleotides) under uncultured prokaryote. Its description in RNAcentral is "partial 16S ribosomal RNA". It matches the Rfam family "Bacterial small subunit ribosomal RNA", at positions 524 to 776 of the family's 1533-position model. The record is from RNAcentral.